AGCAGUGGGGAAUAUUGGACAAUGGGCGAAAGCCUGAUCCAGCCAUGCCGCGUGUGUGAAGAAGGUCUUCGGAUUGUAAAGCACUUUAAGUUGGGAGGAAGGGCAUUAACCUAAUACGUUAGUGUUUUGACGUUACCGACAGAAUAAGCACCGGCUAACUCUGUGCCAGCAGCCGCGGUAAUACAGAGGGUGCAAGCGUUAAUCGGAAUUACUGGGCGUAAAGCGCGCGUAGGUGGUUUGUUAAGUUGGAUGUGAAAUCCCCGGGCUCAACCUGGGAACUGCAUUCAAAACUGACUGACUAGAGUAUGGUAGAGGGUGGUGGAAUUUCCUGUGUAGCGGUGAAAUGCGUAGAUAUAGGAAGGAACACUAGUGGCGAAGCGAUCACCUGGACUAAUACUGACACUGAGG
This 408-nucleotide ribosomal RNA is filed under the name uncultured bacterium. RNAcentral's name for it is "bacterial SSU rRNA". It matches the Rfam family "Bacterial small subunit ribosomal RNA", at positions 350 to 751 of the family's 1533-position model. The record is from RNAcentral.